GACUAGAGACAACACUUACCUCAUCCUCUCAGAUCUUACAGUCAAGUGGGAAAGGUUUUCCUGUUCUGGACAAUUCAUCCAAAUGAGAUCAUAUGAUACUCACCUUUCGUGUCUGGAUUCUAUUUCCUACCACACAUCUUCACAAUUCAUCCAUGUCACAGCAUCUGCAGCACAUCGGAGCUUUCCCUGGUUCUCUGAUAUGAAGCCAUGGUGAAGGACAGGUAAUACAAUGCAGGUGCUGGAAUGAAGUAUGAAUCAUCGGCGGAUAUAUCAGGAAACUCAUAAAACUAUAUGAUUUGUUGACUGUUCAACCAAUGAAUAGUGAGUUGCUGUCCUAGGUAUCUAUCAUCUAUCCUAUCCUACCGAAUGCCUCAUUUAUUAAAUCAUCUUAUUUUACAUGAACAGCGUGAUUUUAACUUUUCAGAAAGCAAUGCCCAGAGACUGACUGGAAAACCCAGCUUCUCUGGUUUUGUAAAUUUCAGGUGUUGCUGAGGCAGUUAUUACCAGUAACACUGUCAAUAGAGUUAUAAAUCUCACUCAGUAUCUGAAUUGCUUUACAGGGAAUUUCUUUUACAAAUGCAAUUAGUUUUGUGUCUAUAGUAUCUGUGCUACAAUGUUGAUAAAUAUUUUUAAAUCUUGUCUUUAGAAUAUGAACAUGAAUUAUAUUUAUAAAUUAAGGUUUUUUUCUACAGUAAUUUAUAUGCAAACUAAAUCUUUAAAAACUGUUGCAAUAAAAUACACAAAAAUUUUUAUGGUUUCUCCUAUUACAUAAUAUUGUUAAAUGUUAUGAAAGCAAAUAGUGAGUGUAUGUGUGUGUGACACACACACACUCAUUUGCAAAACACUUACAUACAAGCCCAAAACAUUGCUAAUUAAAUAAAAAGCAAAAAUAAAAUUCAAGUAAAAUUUUUAAAUCUUUAUGCAUAACUCAUCCAAAAGCCCAAUGGAUCAAAUGAGAAUUCUAUCCCAGUUUUCAUCUUUCAGCUCUUUAACCUGCACCUAAUAACCAAGACCUCACAAGGUUUAAUUAUGUAAUGUAUUACACCUUUAUAUAAAUGACUUAUUAAGUCUCUUAUCUCUCAACUGCCCUUCAUUUUAUUCUCAAAUUGAUCUCAGUCUGUAUAAUUAGCUAUUCUAUUGUGAACAGUGAUAUGAUCUGAGCCGUGAAAUUAAAGUUGCAUAAAAACCAGUAUAUAAAAACUGGAGUUUUGAUUCA
Molecule: long non-coding RNA, 1216 nt
Organism: Nannospalax galili (Upper Galilee mountains blind mole rat)
Lineage: Eukaryota; Metazoa; Chordata; Mammalia; Rodentia; Spalacidae
Exons: 4
Source: RefSeq, a predicted model, not a curated record